AGAGUUUGAUCAUGGCUCAGAUUGAACGCUGGCGGCAGGCCUAACACAUGCAAGUCGAGCGGGAGAGAGGUGCUUGCACCUCUUGAGAGCGGCGGACGGGUGAGUAAAGCCUAGGAAUCUGCCUGGUAGUGGGGGAUAACGCUCGGAAACGGACGCUAAUACCGCAUACGCCCUACGGGAGAAAGCAGGGGACCUUCGGGCCUUGCGCUAUCAGAUGAGCCUAGGUCGGAUUAGCUAGUUGGUGAGGUAAUGGCUCACCAAGGCGACGAUCCGUAACUGGUCUGAGAGGAUGAUCAGUCACACUGGAACUGAGACACGGUCCAGACUCCUACGGGAGGCGGCAGUGGGGAAUAUUGGACAAUGGGCGAAAGCCUGAUCCAGCCAUGCCGCGUGUGUGAAGAAGGUCUUCGGAUUGUAAAGCACUUUAAGUUGGGAGGAAGGGCAUUAACCUAAUACGUUAGUGUUUUGACGUUACCGACAGAAUAAGCACCGGCUAACUCUGUGCCAGCAGCCGCGGUAAUACAGAGGGUGCAAGCGUUAAUCGGAAUUACUGGGCGUAAAGCGCGCGU
This 569-nucleotide ribosomal RNA is filed under the name uncultured bacterium. RNAcentral's name for it is "bacterial SSU rRNA". It matches the Rfam family "Bacterial small subunit ribosomal RNA", at positions 8 to 572 of the family's 1533-position model. The record is from RNAcentral.